CAACAAACCAUUCUCCCUCCCCCGGACGCUCGUUCUUCCCUUCUCUCCCGGACGCUAGUUCUUCGCCAUCCACCUCCCCAACCCAAGGAUCCUCACCAGCAUGGACCCAACAGCACCAGCGUUUAAUCGGGUUGCUGCUCCAACAGUUGAGGAUCUCGACCAGCGCGCACUACUAAUAAGGGAUAAAUUCAGUGCUGAGGGUUGGCUUUGUCCGCGUUGUUAUCAAGUAAACAACCCCAUAGACAACCUACUCUAUAGGGUUCCAGCUUUCGAGUGUACUAAUCCCGAUAAGUGCAAUGCUAAGUGCCCUGGGACAGUUGAAUUGAGCAUUUACUGACUGCAUAAUGAAUACCGUCAGGACCAAUUUUCUGAUUAGAAGUCAAGGCGAUAACCGGAACUGCAGAGCACAUGCAGUCUUGGCCGGCAUGGAUGCUGCACUUAAAAUCGAAGGGGCUCUCCGCGGCGUGCCUGUGUUACAGCCACUCAAUGGUACAAGCCUAUUAAGAGACUACCACCGCUUCUAUCCGGAUGGUGUUGGGCAUGAACGAGAGCGGGAAUGGAGAGGAUAUCGCAGAUACGAACAGUUGCUGAGGGUUGCCCAGGCGUUCGGAGUUCAGUAUGUGUCUCCUAUGAGAACAAUCACAAGGGCGCUGAGACUGCAAUCCUGGUUUCGACUGACAACUAGGCAGACUAGUAUGGACUAUCUAGUGCGCCUGAUCGCUAAUGGCUAUCCGUUAUUAGCCACCAUGGAGAUUGGUCGCUGGUUCAGAAUGUUGGCGCCGCCUCCUUGCAGCGCCGCUUCCUCUUCUACCCCGAGCUGCCUCGCACAACUCUUUUGAGGUCUCUCUCUUCUCUCUACACACACACACGGUGAGAAGACUCAACACACACACGCCAUACACCAAGGAAGACGAACAGCUUUGCCCCAAGCACUUCCUUGGUUACCACCUUGGCUACAUGUUUUUCUCUAGCCCUCACGGCCUCCUUUCUUCAUUACUCCACUGAAACAUAUAUAUACAAGGACCAUACACGCACUGGCCAGCCACCUCUCUCGGCAACUAAUCCCACUAAUCUAUGCAUGCACUAACAGCCUUAUCCUACUCCUGAAAUCACUCCAACGGCCACACGACUCGGCCAUAUCUAAAACUAGCUCCACGUCUCAACGUGGCCUACUACUUCAUGCACGAAGCUAGCUAGCUACAACCAACCAGCACACUCUAACUAACUACGGCUUGGCCAAAUCAUUCGGCUCAACCUGAACGAGCAGCCCAUCACCCUCCAGCUUCGUCGUGUCUCGCCGCUUCUCACGGCCUCACCGUAUCGCACGACAUCAUCGGCAUCUUGCCGUGCUCACCGCAUCGCACGGCAGCCCGACAUCUCGCUUUCUUCACGCGCGUAGCUGAAGUAUCAUUGGCCUACAUACACUGCCCUAGAUCAUCUAAACUACAUGCAAACUCAAAACUAAACAUGCAUGCUGGUAAUCAUGACAAGAUUAGUGCUAACACAGAAUGGCAGCGGAUGGACACUUGUACAUGGGGCCUCCUGCUGAAUUUCCCGGUAAUCAUGCUGUGUUGCUGAUCGGAAGGGUAGCACGACAAGUGGUGCUCCCAAAUAACAUAACCCGGCAGAGUGAGGUGGUUCCCAGCCUUCUUUUUAAGGCAAGGAACUCAAAUGGGUCUACAGCUCACAGGUCUGCUGCACAAGGAGGUUAUGGUGGGGAUGUGUACCUAUUGGCGCAGGAUUUGGGUCCAUACUUGUAUGGAUUUCGUAUUGAGAUCCCAACCUGGAUGCUUCCUAAUGAUGCCUGAGUCAGCACUGUCAUCACCUACCUAACCUAGGUAUGGAACAACACGUCUGCUUGGUGGAAAAUGUUUCAGUUUGCGUUUGGUUGCUGAGACGUAUGGUGGUCAUGGUAUCUUCUAGCCGUAGGUUAUCUUAUCCAUAUGGUGAUCAUGGUAUCUUCUAGCCGUACUUUAUCUUACCUGCGCUGUGUCGCAGUCCGGUCACUACUUGACCCUUGUAUCAAACUCAUUUUACCGUUCCUAGAACUUGUAAGGCCUCAGUUUAACCCGGGGUGUGAGUCCCGUUUCUAGAAAAACAAACAUGUAUGGUGAUGCUGGCUGGCAUUGUAAUAUUGACAAUUGAUCCCUGUCUAGUUACUAUUUGAUUGUAGCCUUUGUCAACAAUAUUUGCAAGCAACCUGAGUAGUCUUGUUUUGUUUUGUUAUGUUCUUUUAUAGUACUACAAGAGAUUUUUCUUCUUCUGACAUA
This is a long non-coding RNA of Triticum aestivum (bread wheat), 2270 nucleotides long. RefSeq lists it as uncharacterized. The record is from RefSeq and is a predicted model, not a curated record. The transcript is spliced from 4 exons. NCBI's taxonomy places the organism in Eukaryota, Viridiplantae, Streptophyta, Magnoliopsida, Poales, Poaceae.